This 74-nucleotide transfer RNA is filed under the name Patescibacteria group bacterium. RNAcentral's name for it is "tRNA-His". It matches the Rfam family "tRNA". Rfam says of the family: Transfer RNA (tRNA) molecules are approximately 80 nucleotides in length. Their secondary structure includes four short double-helical elements and three loops (D, anti-codon, and T loops). The record is from RNAcentral.
GUGUCCAUAGUGUAAUGGUCCGCACGCGACUCUGUGAAAGUCGCAGUACCGGUUCAAAUCCGGUUGGACACCCA